GACGAACGCUGGCGGCGUGCUUAACACAUGCAAGUCGAACGGAAAGGCCCUGCUUUUGUGGGGUGCUCGAGUGGCGAACGGGUGAGUAACACGUGAGUAACCUGCCCUUGACUUUGGGAUAACUUCAGGAAACUGGGGCUAAUACCGGAUAGGAGCUCCUGCUGCAUGGUGGGGGUUGGAAAGUUUCGGCGGUUGGGGAUGGACUCGCGGCUUAUCAGCUUGUUGGUGGGGUAGUGGCUUACCAAGGCUUUGACGGGUAGCCGGCCUGAGAGGGUGACCGGGCAAAUUGGGACUGAGAUACGGCCCAGACUCCUACGGGAGGCAGCAGUGGGGAAUAUUGCACAAUGGGCGGAAGCCUAAUGCAGCAACGCCGCGUGCGGGAUGACGGCCUUCGGGUUGUAAACCGCUUUCGCCUGUGACGAAGCGUGAGUGACGGUAAUGGGUAAAGAAGCACCGGCUAACUACGUG
RNAcentral lists this ribosomal RNA (468 nucleotides) under uncultured bacterium. RNAcentral describes it as "partial 16S ribosomal RNA". It matches the Rfam family "Bacterial small subunit ribosomal RNA", at positions 28 to 507 of the family's 1533-position model. The record is from RNAcentral.